This 549-nucleotide unclassified non-coding RNA is filed under the name Hevea brasiliensis (rubber tree). The record is from RNAcentral. Lineage: Eukaryota; Viridiplantae; Streptophyta; Magnoliopsida; Malpighiales; Euphorbiaceae.
ACUAUGGAUGCUGACACUUGAAGACCAUGUAUUUCUUCAGACCAAUCUGGUAUUGCUAGAAUUAUCCAACAAAUUGAAUGUUCAUGAGAUAUUGUUAUUAUUUAUCUAUUUUUUAACAGAUUGGUCUUUUGCAAUUGGAGUGUUCUUGUCGGAGAUUUAAGAGGGGAAGUAUGAAAUAAAUAUUUCCUAUUGGUUUCUUCAAACUUCAGAUAAUUAAAAUGAAUGAUUCUCCUCUCCUAUUUCAAGAUGGAGAGAACAGUUGAGGAUUGGCCUUUAUUGUCUCAGAAACACUAACUUUGGUACUUUCAUCUCCUAUGAAUGUCCAUUUACAAACAAAAAUGAUGCAUUUAUUCAAGUACUAAUUGGUAGCAUGGAAGAGAGGAAAAACAUUAAUAGGAAAAACAUUAAUGCCAACUGCCAAGGGUUUCGACAAACAAGUGCUUUUCCUUAGUUCCCUAUUUUCUUUCUGCUUAUGAUAAGAAAAUUCUGCUUUUCUUUAAUUAUCUCCUUCUUUCUGUUUUGACAAGAAAAUUUUGUUUGGUAGGUUGG